GCCAGUCUGGGUGGAGCCAUCCUUGAAAUACCGCCCUUAUCCUCAUUGACGUCUAACCGCGGUCCAUGAACCUGGAUCCGGGACCCUGCGUGGCGGGUAGUUUGACUGGGGCGGUCGCCUCCUAAAGCGUAACGGAGGCGCGCGAAGGUUGGCUCAGAGCGGUCGGAAAUCGCUCGUUGAGUGCAAUGGCAGAAGCCAGCCUGACUGCAAGACUGACAAGUCGAGCAGAGUCGAAAGACGGCCAUAGUGAUCCGGUGGUCCCAAGUGGGAGGGCCAUCGCUCAACGGAUAAAAGGUACGCCAGGGAUAACAGGCUAAUCACUCUUUAGAGACCCUAUCGAUGGAGUGGUUUGGCACCUCGAUGUUGGAUUAUCGCAUCCUGGAGCUGUAAGCGGUUCCAAGGGUUUGGCUGUUCGCCAAGAAAGGCGGUACAUGAUCUGAGUUUAGAACGUUGUAAAACAGUUUGGUCCCUAUCUACCGUAAGUGUUAAAAACUGAAAGGAGUAAACCCUAGUACGAGAGGACCGGGAAAAGUAAACCUCUGGUGUAUCGGUUGUCAUUUUAAUGGCACAGCCGAGUAGCUACGUUUAUAAUAGAUAAUUGCUGAAAGCAUCUAAGCAAGAAACUAACCUUAAAAAAAGUUUUUGAAAAGUCGCGAUAGAUUAUCGCGUGAUAGGCUUAAUGUGUAAGAACUGUAAAGUUUUUAGCUAAUAAGUACUAAAAUUU
Molecule: ribosomal RNA, 724 nt
Filed under: Conticribra weissflogii
Lineage: Eukaryota; Bacillariophyta; Thalassiosirophyceae; Thalassiosirales; Thalassiosiraceae
Description: partial Bacterial large subunit ribosomal RNA
Rfam family: Bacterial large subunit ribosomal RNA
Source: RNAcentral